This 693-nucleotide unclassified non-coding RNA is filed under the name Arabidopsis thaliana (thale cress). Lineage: Eukaryota; Viridiplantae; Streptophyta; Magnoliopsida; Brassicales; Brassicaceae. The record is from RNAcentral.
AUUUUCUUCUUUCUCUCUCUCUUUCACGAUGCUUUCCGUUACUUCGGCGAGGAUAUUCGACGAUUUGUGUUCAAUCAGAAGGAUUCGUCGUCAGCUCAAAUAUCGGUCUAUGAAGGAGAAGACUUACAAUAUGCCUCUGAACAAAAUCCAAUCUUACGUUGUUCAGCCUAGAGUGGAGCAAGCAACGGCUUGAUUGGUAUGUGAAUUUUCAUGAUCUGCUCCAAGCUGUGUCUAUUGACUUCUCUCCAAACGAAAGGACAAAAGAUGUAGAUACCACUACUAAGAGUGAUUUCAAAAGUGAAGUGGUUCAACGAUAUCGACACCCUCUUGAGGAUCUCUAAGCUCCAUUGAUUUCUAUUCUUUACCAAUUAAAGUUUUUGCCGUUUAAAUUUGGCUAACAUUGUUUUCUUAUAACUUGUCUCUGUUUACAAGGAAGCAUAGGAGAAGAAGAAAGCAGAGUAUGCACAGAGGAUGAAGAAUAAGGCUGCAACGUUUCACAAGGAAGCAGAAGAGAGAAGACAUUGAUGACUCAAGACUUGGUGACUGAAGAAAACUUUGUAUAUGCUUUGAUCAAAUUUGUAAAGUUUAGUCAUAGAGGAAACCAAUUGUGAAGCAGUUUUAUGAUAAAGGAAACCUAUUGUAAACUUUGUGUAUGUCUUUAUUCCAAAUUCCGAUUGUGAAACAAGAUUAAAA